UAGGGAAUCUUCGGCAAUGGGGGCAACCCUGACCGAGCAACGCCGCGUGAGUGAAGAAGGUUUUCGGAUCGUAAAGCUCUGUUGUAAGAGAAGAACGUGUGUGAGAGUGGAAAGUUCACACAGUGACGGUAACUUACCAGAAAGGGACGGCUAACUACGUGCCAGCAGCCGCGGUAAUACGUAGGUCCCGAGCGUUGUCCGGAUUUAUUGGGCGUAAAGCGAGCGCAGGCGGUUGAAUAAGUCUGAAGUUAAAGGCAGUGGCUUAACCAUUGUUCGCUUUGGAAACUGUUAAACUUGAGUGCAGAAGGGGAGAGUGGAAUUCCAUGUGUAGCGGUGAAAUGCGUAGAUAUAUGGAGGAACACCGGUGGCGAAAGCGGCUCUCUGGUCUGUAACUGACGCUGAGGCUCGAAAGCGUAGGGAGCAAACAGG
This 429-nucleotide ribosomal RNA is filed under the name bacterium. RNAcentral describes it as "partial 16S ribosomal RNA". It matches the Rfam family "Bacterial small subunit ribosomal RNA", at positions 355 to 776 of the family's 1533-position model. The record is from RNAcentral.